This 457-nucleotide ribosomal RNA is filed under the name uncultured bacterium. Its description in RNAcentral is "partial 16S ribosomal RNA". It matches the Rfam family "Bacterial small subunit ribosomal RNA", at positions 338 to 795 of the family's 1533-position model. The record is from RNAcentral.
CCUACGGGUGGCAGCAGUGGGGAAUAUUGCACAAUGGGGGAAACCCUGAUGCAGCGACGCCGCGUGAGUGAAGAAGUAUUUCGGUACGUAAAGCUCUAUCAGCAGGGAAGAAAAAAAGUCCUUUGGACUUUGGACGGUACCUGACUAAGAAGCCCCGGCUAACUACGUGCCAGCAGCCGCGGUAAUACGUAGGGGGCAAGCGUUAUCCGGAUUUACUGGGUGUAAAGGGAGCGUAGACGGCAGCGCAAGUCUGGAGUGAAAUGCCGGGGCCCAACCCCGGAACUGCUUUGGAAACUGUGCAGCUGGAGUGCAGGAGAGGUAAGCGGAAUUCCUAGUGUAGCGGUGAAAUGCAUAGAUAUCACACAGAACACCGAUUGCGAAGGCAUCUCACGAAUCCGCGAUUGACGCUGAUGCACGAAAGCGUGGGUAUCAAACAGGAUUAGAUACCCUUGUAGUC